RNAcentral lists this transfer RNA (62 nucleotides) under Lauridromia dehaani. RNAcentral's name for it is "tRNA-Cys". The record is from RNAcentral. Lineage: Eukaryota; Metazoa; Arthropoda; Malacostraca; Decapoda; Dromiidae.
AGGCUCUGCAGUGAUAAGAAUACUAAAUUGCAAAUUUAGAGGUGUGUGAAUACACCAGAGUU